AUGGCUGCUCCGGCGAAGGCAUCGUGGAUGGUGGCCAUGAGCGUGGGCGCCGUGGAGGCCCUCAAGGACCAAGCCGGGCUCUGCCGCUGGAACUAUGCCCUCAAGUCCAUCCACCGGGCAGCCAAGGCCAACGUCUGCGGCGGCAUCUCGCAGGGCACCAAGCAGCUUCUGGCCUCCGCGUCGGCCGUGGCGGAGCGGCGGCGAGCGGAGAAGGCCGAGGAGGGGCUGAGGACCGUGAUGUACCUCAGCUGCUGGGGCCCAAAUUAG
RNAcentral lists this ribosomal RNA (267 nucleotides) under Triticum aestivum (bread wheat). RNAcentral's name for it is "partial small subunit ribosomal RNA". The record is from RNAcentral. Lineage: Eukaryota; Viridiplantae; Streptophyta; Magnoliopsida; Poales; Poaceae.